CCCUUGUAGGUAGAGAAAGUUAGAGAUGAGCGAGAGACUACUGAUACAAAUGAAUUCCCACUGGCGGCUGCUGCUGCUGCUUCAUAUUAAUAUGACAAAUGGUGAUCGGCACCAACCCCUCUGAAGAAUCGAAUUUCACGCGCCUAAGCAGUACGUGGUUUUACGUGACGGAAUACCAGCUAAACGCCUUGGACUAUUACUAGUACUAGUAUUAAUAUUGGAGUGAUGAACAGUAAGCGCGUGUGUAAUUUUAGCAGUUAAUGAAUCUAUCGCUUCAAGUAACGCACAGGAUUGGGUCUGACUUUUUUCUUGUGAUAAAUGCCAAAUGCGUGGACUACGACACAUAAUGGACUGGAUUUAAUUUUUGGAUUUCAGGCUUUUGUUAUAUUGGGUAAGGCCGGCCAAUGGUUUCUCCUUACUUUGGAUCAGUCUAUUGUCAAUUCUAAAACCCAGUUUUCUCACCGUUCGUCUACGAGGU
RNAcentral lists this long non-coding RNA (478 nucleotides) under Panax ginseng (ginseng). RNAcentral describes it as "long non-coding RNA (PGIN_LNC007185)". The record is from RNAcentral. Lineage: Eukaryota; Viridiplantae; Streptophyta; Magnoliopsida; Apiales; Araliaceae.